GUGUCAGCCGCCGCGGUAAUACGUAGGGUCCGAGCGUUGUCCGGAAUUAUUGGGCGUAAAGGGCUCGUAGGCGGUUCGUCACGUCGGGAGUGAAAACUCGGAGCUUAACUCCGAGCCUGCUUCCGAUACGGGCAGACUAGAGGUAGGCAGGGGAGAGCGGAACUCCUGGUGUAGCGGUGGAAUGCGCAGAUAUCAGGAAGAACACCGGUGGCGAAGGCGGCUCUCUGGGCCUUACCUGACGCUGAGGAGCGAAAGCGUGGGUAGCGAACAGGAUUAGAAACCCUCGUAGUCC
Molecule: ribosomal RNA, 292 nt
Filed under: uncultured bacterium
Lineage: Bacteria
Description: partial 16S ribosomal RNA
Rfam family: Bacterial small subunit ribosomal RNA
Source: RNAcentral